Molecule: ribosomal RNA, 481 nt
Filed under: Fusarium oxysporum
Lineage: Eukaryota; Fungi; Ascomycota; Sordariomycetes; Hypocreales; Nectriaceae
Description: eukaryotic LSU rRNA
Rfam family: 5.8S ribosomal RNA (bases 120-273)
Source: RNAcentral
ACAUACCACUUGUUGCCUCGGCGGAUCAGCCCGCUCCCGGUAAAACGGGACGGCCCGCCAGAGGACCCCUAAACUCUGUUUCUAUAUGUAACUUCUGAGUAAAACUAUAAAUAAAUCAAAACUUUCAACAACGGAUCUCUUGGUUCUGGCAUCGAUGAAGAACGCAGCAAAAUGCGAUAAGUAAUGUGAAUUGCAGAAUUCAGUGAAUCAUCGAAUCUUUGAACGCACAUUGCGCCCGCCAGUAUUCUGGCGGGCAUGCCUGUUCGAGCGUCAUUUCAACCCUCAAGCACAGCUUGGUGUUGGGACUCGCGUUAAUUCGCGUUCCCCAAAUUGAUUGGCGGUCACGUCGAGCUUCCAUAGCGUAGUAGUAAAACCCUCGUUACUGGUAAUCGUCGCGGCCACGCCGUUAAACCCCAACUUCUGAAUGUUGACCUCGGAUCAGGUAGGAAUACCCGCUGAACUUAAGCAUAUCAAUAAGCGG